UACGAAGGGGGCUAGCGUUGCUCGGAUUGACUGGGCGUAAAGGGCGCGUAGGCGGCUUACACAGUCAGACGUGGAAUUCCUGGGCUCAACCUGGGGGCUGCGUUUGAUACAUGUAGGCUUGAGUUCGGAAGAGGGUCGUGGAAUUCCCAGUGUAGAGGUGAAAUUCGUAGAUAUUGGGAAGAACACCGGUGGCGAAGGCGGCGACCUGGUCCGAUACUGACGCUGAGGCGCGAAAGCGUGGGGAGCAAACAGG
Molecule: ribosomal RNA, 253 nt
Filed under: uncultured Acidisoma sp.
Lineage: Bacteria; Pseudomonadati; Pseudomonadota; Alphaproteobacteria; Acetobacterales; Acidocellaceae
Description: partial 16S ribosomal RNA
Rfam family: Bacterial small subunit ribosomal RNA
Source: RNAcentral